RNAcentral lists this ribosomal RNA (497 nucleotides) under uncultured bacterium. RNAcentral's name for it is "partial 16S ribosomal RNA". It matches the Rfam family "Bacterial small subunit ribosomal RNA", at positions 28 to 507 of the family's 1533-position model. The record is from RNAcentral.
GAUGAACGCUGGCGGCGUGCCUAAUACAUUCAAGUCGAGCGAACAGACGAGGAGCUUGCUCCUCUGACGUUAGCGGCGGACGGGUGAGUAACACGUGGAUAACCUACCUAUAAGACUUGGAUAACUUCGGGAAACCGGAGCUAAUACCGGAUAAUAUAUUGAACCGCAUGGUUCAAUAGUGAAAUACGGUUUUGCUAUCACUUAUAGAUGGAUCCGCGCCGCAUUAGCUAGUUGGUAAGGUAACGGCUUACCAAGGCAACGAUGCGUAGCCGACCUGAGAGGGUGAUCGGCCACACUGGAACUGAGACAAGGUCCAGACUCCUACGGGAGGCAGCAGUAGGGAAUCUUCCGCAAUGGGCGAAAGCUUGACGGAGCAACGCCGCGUGAGUGAUGAAGGUCUUCGGAGCGUAAAACUCUGUUAUUAGGGAAGAACAAAUGUGUAAGUAACUAUGCACGUCUUGACGGUACCUAAUCAGAAAGCCACGGCUAACUACGUG